RNAcentral lists this transfer RNA (66 nucleotides) under Trichoprosopon pallidiventer. RNAcentral's name for it is "tRNA-Cys". Lineage: Eukaryota; Metazoa; Arthropoda; Insecta; Diptera; Culicidae. The record is from RNAcentral.
AACUUUAUAGUCAAAAAUGAUUUUAGACUGCAAUUCUAAAGAAAUAAUUAAAUAUUAUUAAAGUUU